GGAAGACAGCAAUCUACACACAUACACUCACACACCCCGUCCCUUUCCCUCCUCGCAGAAGCCGAGGAGAUGCCAUGUGAGGGUGCAGCGAGGAGUUGGGCUGUCUAAAAGCAAAGAAAGAGAUUGCAUCAGACACCGCAUCUGCUGACACCUUGUUCUUGGACUUCCAGCUUCCAAAACCGCGAGAAAUAAAUGUCUGUGUCUAAACCCCAACCCUACCACCUCAACUGCCGUGUGUGGUGUUUUGUGAUGGCAGCCCCAGCUGACUGAGACACCUGGUUAGACCGGAAUAAGCAGGCUGCAAUCGGUAGCAGUCACCAUUGAACAUCCUUGAAGCAAUUCUUCCAAAAUUACCUUGCAUCAAAGACUGCACAAGAACUGCUCUAAGCGGAAGGACUGAUGUCGGCAACCAGGGUUCCACCAGGGGCUGCAGACAGCCCUUGACCUUCAGGUGGGAAGGUGUCACUGAGUUCAGACCCUCUGGCAAUCCCUAGCUAUCAACAUUUUGAUAAGAAAAUAAGUGGAAAGAAGUAACCAAAUUUACUCACGUAGGCCAGGAAUUUCUAUGACGUGUUCCAAAUUCAGCCUCUCACUGAACACUUCCAGAGCAAGGCAACAUAAACAUCUGCAAGAAGAACAUUGUGUGAGAAAUAUCAAGUGAGAGUGGAAGAGUCUGCGGAGGGCCUCCCUGGGGCUCACCUGUGCUUUUGCCUGAGCUUCACCGUGUCAAGCACUUUUUCCCUCUGGAGGAAGCAGCUUUCACCUUGGAAGAAUCUUGACCUUGCCAUUCAAAGUCACCAGACAGGGAAUCUGCCAGUGCCUUGAUCUUAGACUUCCCAGCUUCUGUAACUGUGAGCAAUAAAUGUAUGCUGCUUAUAAACUAUCCAGUCUCAUGCAUUUUGUUAUAGCAAUAUAAACAGAUGAAGACAGACAUAAACAUAUCUUUUUGAGAGAUGCAAUGCAACCCAUACCACCAGGAUUGCCACAUGUUUGCUGAUUUCACCUGGUAGCAAGGCUUAGCUAUCUUGGCUUGAAUGUAAUACCUCCAUCUUUUCUCUUGGUCAUCCUCUUUAAGCAGAGGACUUUUAUCUACCCAAGCAGAAUCCUGUGUUCUUGCUAUUCGAAGUGCAGCCCAGCCUCCUGCAGCCACCACAUCACUUGUGAUGCUUGACAGAAAUGCAGACUCUCUGUUCCCACCUCAAACCUACUGACUUGGGAAUCUGCAGCUUACCAAGAUCUCCAGGUGAUCCACGUACACGUCAAACUUUGAAAAGCAGUGGUUUGCAGAACAAAAAGGAUUCAGCUUCUGAUAUGGUUUGGAUUUGUGUCUG
RNAcentral lists this long non-coding RNA (1331 nucleotides) under Homo sapiens (human). RNAcentral describes it as "HSALNT0338188". The record is from RNAcentral. Lineage: Eukaryota; Metazoa; Chordata; Mammalia; Primates; Hominidae.